RNAcentral lists this ribosomal RNA (484 nucleotides) under uncultured bacterium. RNAcentral describes it as "bacterial SSU rRNA". It matches the Rfam family "Bacterial small subunit ribosomal RNA", at positions 28 to 494 of the family's 1533-position model. The record is from RNAcentral.
GAUGAACGCUGGCGGCGUGCCUAAUACAUGCAAGUAGAACGCUGAAGACUUUAGCUUGCUAAAGUUGGAAGAGUUGCGAACGGGCGAGUAACGCGUAGGUAACCUGCCUACUAGCGGGGGAUAACUAUUGGAAACGAUAGCUAAUACCGCAUAAAAGUCGGCAUUGCAUGAUGUUGACUUGAAAGGUGCAACUGCAUCACUAAGAGAUGGACCUGCGUUGUAUUAGCUAGUUGGUGAGGUAACGGCUCACCAAGGCGACGAUACAUAGCCGACCUGAGAGGGUGAUCGGCCACACUGGGACUGAGACACGGCCCAGACUCCUACGGGAGGCAGCAGUAGGGAAUCUUCGGCAAUGGACGGAAGUCUGACCGAGCAACGCCGCGUGAGUGAAGAAGGUUUUCGGAUCGUAAAGCUCUGUUGUAAGAGAAGAACGAGUGUGAGAGUGGAAAGUUCACACUGUGACGGUAACUUACCAGAAAGGGAC